Molecule: long non-coding RNA, 3637 nt
Organism: Cydia fagiglandana
Lineage: Eukaryota; Metazoa; Arthropoda; Insecta; Lepidoptera; Tortricidae
Exons: 3
Source: RefSeq, a predicted model, not a curated record
ACGCGUAUUAUUGGGCUGUACAUUCCUGGGUUGAGCAUUCUCGGGCCGCGCAAUAUUGGUCCGGGGCGAUAAUACGAAGCCACUCUUUUCACAGGGCAAUAAUGUACGACCCCAUAAUUCGCGUCCAAUAAUUUGAGUCCCUUGGCUUUCAAUUAUUGGGCUGCGCAUUAUUGGUACAGGUCGAGAAAGCCCGACCCAAUAAUGUACGACCCAAUAAUAGGAAGCCAAAAACCAGAGAGAUUCUUUUUUUUAAGGGAGCUGUCAAAAUUAGUAGGGACGUUCUGACAUUAGCUCUUGACAAUUUAAAAAUAAUCGGUUUUUUCUAGUGCCAUCUUUCAGUGACAUUGACAGUAUUGUAUUGACAGUUGUUGGUUUACAAAUACAAUAAAAUGAAUUCUAAUAAAAGAAACAGUAGACUCAGUAGAGGUACGAGGUACUGAAAAAAUAUUAAUUAAUGGAGAAGCCGAAGUUGGAGGAAAACAAGAAGAUUCGAGGAGAAUGGUGUGGCACUUAAUGCCGCCGGGACAGUAACCUAGCUGCAGCUCCAACUCUAGGGAAUUGGGCUGAAUGAACGCAACACGUGAUCGACAGCCCACCUGCUUCCUGCCGAGCGUCCCUACACUACAUCUACAUGGAUUCGCUUAUUCUGCUCUACAAAACUUCUAAAACAAUACAAAUAAUACAGGAAGAAGAGAUUAAACAACAGGCGGUCUUAUCGCUAAAAAGCGAUCUCUUCCAGACAACCUUACUACUUUUGAGGUUAGAACAACCCACGAAAACAUUUAAUGUAAAGUGUUGCCAAGACUAGUUGCAUAAAGCUUUUACACUAAAAAAGUUAUCAGAUCCCGUAGUAGGUACCAAGACUUUUACUCUGUCAUUCCUAACUUUAUAAGCUCUAACAGUAUAAAGCCAACAUCUUGGUCAAACAGUACGGCUUGGCCGUUUCGUUGGUGUCAUACUCAUAUGGACAAUCCCGUAAUGACACUUUCAGAAUUUGAAAGACCUUUGUUGCUACUUUGUACAACAAGUCCACUGAGGGAGUGUUUGUAAAAACGACAUAUCAGUUUAUAUAAACUACGAUAAUACAAGGUCAUAUAAGCAGGCAUAAUUUUAAAACAUUUAACAUUUAGGUUUUCAGAAAAGUUACGUACCUAUUUCUAGCGACAUCUAUGUAUGUAGGGCCUAUAUAAAAUAAGCCAGGAAAGUUAUGAAAGUGAAUUAAAGUUCAUGUUGCACUGAUAAAAUCAUUUUAAACAAAUAUUCUAAAUAUAAUUAUUCUCAAAUUUCAGGAGCUGAUACAAGCAGCCAGAAUGAGUCUCUGCUGAGUCGCCGGCGCCGGACGUGCGUCGCGCGCCUCGGGCGACUGACGUCUUCGUGUGAGUCGCCAAUUGCAGGGGAAGAUACGAAUAGUUAGGUAUAAAAGCUACUUUAGUCAACCUCGCCUCAGUACUGUUUGUAUUGACUGAAAUACAAGUAGCAUAUAUGAGACGUUCGGACUUAUCCGUGAAAAUACGAAGGUAAAGGAAAUUGCACUACAUUUUUAGAACCUAUUCACCUGUCAGUAAAAUAUUGAAAAGGAAAGUUCAUGAGUUUUAUUAUUUUCUUUCCUCCAACAGCUUCACAUGGAGCAAAUGUAAACCUUUUAUGUUAAUAAAUAUCAGUAAUGUCAAGGUACAACGCUCUUUAGAGCAUAUUGCCAUUCCUUUUACUCGAGUGGCCUGUGGGUUAACUAUACGAAGCGAGCCUACGAUGCAUUAAAAGUGCAGUAUAACAAUGCAUUCAGAAUGCUGUUGGGCUUACCUCGUAGAUGUAGUGCAUCUGGCAUGUUUUGCGAAGCUAGAAGUUUUCUGGCAAUCAUGCGCAAGAAAAUAGUAUCUCUGCUAGGUCGAGUUAGAAGCAGUCCCAAACAUACAUGUUCGAAAAGUAGAACUCCCUUAGUAGGCCAAGCAAUAAGAAGUUAUAGAGGGAAAUGCUAGGAACACAAUUUUUGACUACGUAACUUUGUUUGGACUAGUUAGGAGGUGAACAUAUCAAAAGUCCCCGGCUGUAGCCCCGGUGCUGGGGGGUAGACUAGUUAUAGUCCAAACAAAGUUACGGAGUCAAAAACUGUGUUCCUAGCAUUUCCCUCUACAACGUUUUUUGAGCAUUCAUUUCCUGACCUAUAGAUCGUGUUUCAAUUUAUCGCCUCUCGUUGGCAAUUAAGGUGGUUCGCUUUCCAUACAAAAAAAACAAUUACAUAAGUACCUAAUAGUGUGUAAUUACUUAAUAUAACGCAAUUGUUUUUUGUAUGGAAAGCGAACCACCUUAACUAUUCGCACAACGUUUUGUAGUUGCAGUAAGUACUUACAUAUGGCCGGUUAAAUUUUCGAAAUAGGUAUGUAUUUACGUACAGUGCUAAUUGCCGCACAUAGAAUAAUUAAAGUUUGAUCAAUCGGAAUAUGUUCCUAAGUCACUUAUUACAUUUCGAAUUAUAAGUCUGUAUUUUACAGCUUUAGAUGUGCAUGACUGCAUAUGCACAUCUAAAGCUGAAAAAUGCUUUCAUGAAAUUAUGGCUAAAUUAUGUUAAUAGGGACAAAUGUAUCAUUUUCAACCAAAUGGGUUCUUAUUAUCUGUUGUCAAUAAGGCGCUAUUUCCAUAAAGCUUCAAUUUGAAAUCAGCCUCGUCGACAACCGACAAUGUUAACCUUUUGGUUGAAAACGUCACAAAUUAUGGCGAUAGAGAAUACAAUGUUCUGUUGCCAGAGUGCAGCACUAGUAAAACCCGUAAACGAGUGAAUUGCAAAAAAGUGUAGGUAACACAAUGGAAUAUUCACAAAAAUAUGAAAGAAUGUAACACAAAAUGAAGAAAAUGUAUGUGUUUUUUUUUGUGUUACGUCACACAAAGGACGCCAAAAUCGACGCCGCAAUAUUUUUCACGACGUGUAGAAUAAAAGUGGCGUCGAAUUCAGGAAUCCGCAAAUACUAUGGUAGCCGAUAGCCAAGUAAUUUAUCAAUAGAACAAUGUUAAAACAGUAGUAGAAACGGUGAGCUUUGCAAACUUUUAGUAGAUUGGUUUGGUUUUGGUAGAUUUCUCGGUUUGGCAUGCUUGAUGCUCUUCACAUCACCACAGACGGAGGUCGACAGUUCGAAUCUGUCUUGUUCAACCAAUUGAUGGAGGCACAUAUGCACGCAUACGAAGUAUACGAACCACAUAUUACACUACCAUCCUGGAGCUAAUUGGAUUACUUGCAUCUACUAUUAUAGUAUAUACCUAUGCCUUAUUUUUACGCCUAAGACCCUAAGCUUUUAACAAAAACCAUUAUUUCUUUUAUACCUACGGGCGGUUUAGCUCCCGUACCUACCUCUAUUAUACCUAGCCACGUGCUAAAGCAACAAUGUCCUUUAAAUCCGUAUCCCGUAUCGUGAUAGUAUUAAGAUUCAACUCGUCUACAUCGAGGUGGUCGAUCGUCCUAAAUACAUUACCAAAACAUGUUAACUCGUAUGAGCCGUUACAUAGAUUUGAACCUUAAUACUAUCAUGAUAAUUAUUGAUUAAUAUUUUUAAAUAAUUUGUUAAGCAUAUUUACACUUGCAAAUAUACACUUGCAGCAUUCUAAUAUUAUGGUAUGGUAAACAUAUAACAUGUUAUAUAUUCGCGAU